RNAcentral lists this ribosomal RNA (253 nucleotides) under uncultured bacterium. RNAcentral describes it as "partial 16S ribosomal RNA". It matches the Rfam family "Bacterial small subunit ribosomal RNA", at positions 524 to 776 of the family's 1533-position model. The record is from RNAcentral.
GACGAACCGUGCGAACGUUAUUCGGAAUCACUGGGCUUAAAGGGCGCGUAGGCGGGCGGCCAAGUCAGAGGUGAAAGCCCCCAGCUCAACUGGGGAAGUGCCUUUGAUACUGGUCGUCUCGAGGGAGAUAGGGGCGUGCGGAACUUCCGGUGGAGCGGUGAAAUGCGUAGAUAUCGGAAGGAACACCGGUGGCGAAAGCGGCGCGCUGGAUCUCUUCUGACGCUGAGGCGCGAAAGCCAGGGGAGCGAACAGG